ACGAGGUGGGCAGACUCCGGGGAGGCGUCUGCCGGUGGCUUUGUGAUCCAGGACGCACCCUAGAACUGCUUUCUUUUCAGAUGCCCCAUGGUGUGGUCACUGCAAACAGUUGGCUCCCAUUUGGGAUAAACUAGGAGAGACGUACAAGGACCACGAGAACAUUGUCAUCGCCAAGAUGGACUCGACUGCCAAUGAGGUGGAGGCCGUCAAAGUGCACAGCUUCCCCACACUCAAGUUCUUUCCAGCCAGUGCUGACAGGACGGUCAUCGAUUACAACGGGGAACGCACGCUGGAUGGUUUUAAGAAGUUCCUGGAGAGCGGUGGCCAGGAUGGGGCAGGGGAUGAUGACGAUCUCGAGGACCUGGAAGAAGCAGAGGAGCCAGACAUGGAGGAAGAUGAUGAUCAGAAAGCUGUGAAAGAUGAACUGUAAUACGGAAAGCCAGACCCGGGCGCUGCCGAGACCCCUCGGGGGCUGCACACCCAGCAGCAGCGC
This 493-nucleotide small RNA is filed under the name Pongo abelii (Sumatran orangutan). RNAcentral's name for it is "retained intron". The record is from RNAcentral. Lineage: Eukaryota; Metazoa; Chordata; Mammalia; Primates; Hominidae.